CGGGUGCAGCAGGCGCGAAAACUUUACAAUGCUGGCAACAGCGAUAAGGGGACCUCGAGUGCCAGGUUACAAAUCUGGCUGUCGUGAUGCCUAAAAAGCAUUGCAUAGCAAGGGCCGGGCAAGACCGGUGCCAGCCGCCGCGGUAACACCGGCGGCUCGAGUGGUAACCGUUAUUAUUGGGUCUAAAGGGUCUGUAGCCGGCCGGAUAAGUCUCUUGGGAAAUCCAGCAGCUCAACUGUUGGGCUUUCAGGAGAUACUGUCUGGCUCGAGGCCGGGAGAGGUGAGAGGUACUUCAGGGGUAGGGGUGAAAUCUUGUAAUCCUUGAAGGACCACCAGUGGCGAAGGCGUCUCACCAGAACGGACCUGACGGCAAGGGACGAAAGCUAGGGGCACGAACCGGAUUAGAUACCCGGGUAGUCCUAGCCGUAAACGAUACUCGCUAGGUGUCGGCCACGGUGCGACCGUUGUCGGUGCCGUAGGGAAGCCGUGAAGCGAGCCACCUGGGAAGUACGGCCGCAAGGCUGAAACUUAAAGGAAUUGGCGGGGGAGCACAAGGGCGAAUGCG
Molecule: ribosomal RNA, 565 nt
Filed under: uncultured archaeon
Lineage: Archaea
Description: bacterial SSU rRNA
Rfam family: Archaeal small subunit ribosomal RNA
Source: RNAcentral